CGCGAUACAGGGUGACAGCCCCGUACACAAAAAUGCACAUGCUGUGAGCUCGAUGAGUAGGGCGGGACACGUGGUAUCCUGUCUGAAUAUGGGGGGACCAUCCUCCAAGGCUAAAUACUCCUGACUGACCGAUAGUGAACCAGUACCGUGAGGGAAAGGCGAAAAGAACCCCGGCGAGGGGAGUGAAAAAGAACCUGAAACCGUGUACGUACAAGCAGUGGGAGCACGCUUAGGCGUGUGACUGCGUACCUUUUGUAUAAUGGGUCAGCGACUUAUAUUCUGUAGCAAGGUUAACCGAAUAGGGGAGCCGAAGGGAAACCGAGUCUUAACUGGGCGUUAAGUUGCAGGGUAUAGACCCGAAACCCGGUGAUCUAGCCAUGGGCAGGUUGAAGGUUGGGUAACACUAACUGGAGGACCGAACCGACUAAUGUUGAAAAAUUAGCGGAUGACUUGUGGCUGGGGGUGAAAGGCCAAUCAAACCGGGAGAUAGCUGGUUCUCCCCGAAAGCUAUUUAGGUAGCGCCUCGUGAAUUCAUCUCCGGGGGUAGAGCACUGUUUCGGCAAGGGGGUCAUCCCGACUUACCAACCCGAUGCAAACUGCGAAUACCGGAGAAUGUUAUCACGGGAGACACACGGCGGGUGCUAACGUCCGUCGUGAAGAGGGAAACAACCCAGACCGCCAGCUAAGGUCCCAAAGUCAUGGUUAAGUGGGAAACGAUGUGGGAAGGCCCAGACAGCCAGGAUGUUGGCUUAGAAGCAGCCAUCAUUUAAAGAAAGCGUAAUAGCUCACUGGUCGAGUCGGCCUGCGCGGAAGAUGUAACGGGGCUAAACCAUGCACCGAAGCUGCGGCAGCGACGCUUAUGCGUUGUUGGGUAGGGGAGCGUUCUGUAAGCCUGCGAAGGUGUGCUGUGAGGCAUGCUGGAGGUAUCAGAAGUGCGAAUGCUGACAUAAGUAACGAUAAAGCGGGUGAAAAGCCCGCUCGCCGGAAGACCAAGGGUUCCUGUCCAACGUUAAUCGGGGCAGGGUGAGUCGACCCCUAAGGCGAGGCCGAAAGGCGUAGUCGAUGGGAAACAGGUUAAUAUUCCUGUACUUGGUGUUACUGCGAAGGGGGGACGGAGAAGGCUAUGUUGGCCGGGCGACGGUUGUCCCGGUUUAAGCGUGUAGGCUGGUUUUCCAGGCAAAUCCGGAAAAUCAAGGCUGAGGCGUGAUGACGAGGCACUACGGUGCUGAAGCAACAAAUGCCCUGCUUCCAGGAAAAGCCUCUAAGCAUCAGGUAACAUCAAAUCGUACCCCAAACCGACACAGGUGGUCAGGUAGAGAAUACCAAGGCGCUUGAGAGAACUCGGGUGAAGGAACUAGGCAAAAUGGUGCCGUAACUUCGGGAGAAGGCACGCUGAUAUGUAGGUGAAGUCCCUUGCGGAUGGAGCUGAAAUCAGUCGAAGAUACCAGCUGGCUGCAACUGUUUAUUAAAAACACAGCACUGUGCAAACACGAAAGUGGACGUAUACGGUGUGACGCCUGCCCGGUGCCGGAAGGUUAAUUGAUGGGGUUAGCGGUAACGCGAAGCUCUUGAUCGAAGCCCCGGUAAACGGCGGCCGUAACUAUAACGGUCCUAAGGUAGCGAAAUUCCUUGUCGGGUAAGUUCCGACCUGCACGAAUGGCGUAAUGAUGGCCAGGCUGUCUCCACCCGAGACUCAGUGAAAUUGAACUCGCUGUGAAGAUGCAGUGUACCCGCGGCAAGACGGAAAGACCCCGUGAACCUUUACUAUAGCUUGACACUGAACAUUGAGCCUUGAUGUGUAGGAUAGGUGGGAGGCUUUGAAGUGUGGACGCCAGUCUGCAUGGAGCCGACCUUGAAAUACCACCCUUUAAUGUUUGAUGUUCUAACGUGGACCCGUAAUCCGGGUUGCGGACAGUGUCUGGUGGGUAGUUUGACUGGGGCGGUCUCCUCCUAAAGAGUAACGGAGGAGCACGAAGGUUGGCUAAUCCUGGUCGGACAUCAGGAGGUUAGUGCAAUGGCAUAAGCCAGCUUGACUGCGAGCGUGACGGCGCGAGCAGGUGCGAAAGCAGGUCAUAGUGAUCCGGUGGUUCUGAAUGGAAGGGCCAUCGCUCAACGGAUAAAAGGUACUCCGGGGAUAACAGGCUGAUACCGCCCAAGAGUUCAUAUCGACGGCGGUGUUUGGCACCUCGAUGUCGGCUCAUCACAUCCUGGGGCUGAAGUAGGUCCCAAGGGUAUGGCUGUUCGCCAUUUAAAGUGGUACGCGAGCUGGGUUUAGAACGUCGUGAGACAGUUCGGUCCCUAUCUGCCGUGGGCGCUGGAGAACUGAGGGGGGCUGCUCCUAGUACGAGAGGACCGGAGUGGACGCAUCACUGGUGUUCGGGUUGUCAUGCCAAUGGCACUGCCCGGUAGCUAAAUGCGGAAGAGAUAAGUGCUGAAAGCAUCUAAGCACGAAACUUGCCCCGAGAUGAGUUCUCCCUGACUCCUUGAGAGUCCUGAAGGAACGUUGAAGACGACGACGUUGAUAGGCCGGGUGUGUAAGCGCAGCGAUGCGUUGAGCUAACCGGUACUAAUGAACCGUGAGG
This 2582-nucleotide ribosomal RNA is filed under the name Escherichia coli. Its description in RNAcentral is "partial 23S ribosomal RNA". It matches the Rfam family "Bacterial large subunit ribosomal RNA", at positions 353 to 2915 of the family's 2925-position model. Lineage: Bacteria; Pseudomonadati; Pseudomonadota; Gammaproteobacteria; Enterobacterales; Enterobacteriaceae. The record is from RNAcentral.